AGUACAGUAGUGUGUGGGGAACAGGCCACUGCCCUAUCCUCUCUGUCAGGUCCUACCACCACUGGUUGGCCCUUGGGAUGAACAAGGUCAUCAACAAAGAUGUUGAAGAAGACUGGAUACAACACUGACUCGUGGGGAACACCGCUGGUUACAUGCCACCAAUCAGACUCUGCACCACUGAUGACCACUCUCUGAGCAUUUCCAGUCAGCCAGUUCUCAGUCCACCUCACCAUCCACUCAUCUGCAUUUUCUAAGUUUUGUAAUGACGAUUUUGUGGGAGAUAGUGCCUAACACCUUGCAGAAGACAAAGUAUACAACAUCCACUGCUUUCCUCCCAUCUACCCAGUCCAUGAUGACAUCCUAGAAGACCAUGGCUAUUUCCAAAUGAAGAUAUGGAACUUUGCAUCUUCUGAUUUAAAGAUUGCUUUGCUAGCAAGGGUGACCAUGAUCCUCUACCUACUAAUUGCUGCUCCAUCUCUGAAUAUCAGAUUGUAACUAUUUUGUUGAAGUACGUUUUUUUCUCUUUUUAAAAACUAGAGUGUAUGGAGGACUUGAUAACUGUGCUGCUGUGUGGAUGACAUCUGAAUGUACUGAAGGUAACAGCCCAAUGCCUGGUGUGCUGGUGUACAUUCAGAAAGACCAUUCUCUGUCCGCCACUUAUUAAAUCUGCAUUUCUGCUACUGCUUGGCACAAGUCAGAAACAUAGGUUGUAUUUUCAGGCAUUGUGUUUUCCUGGGGAAGUGGAUACGCUUUUGGAAAGUGUACACCCUGCAGUCAUGCUAUGCAGUCUAAGUCCCAAAGGCUGUGCUUUGCUGAAUUGAGACAAUCAUCUCACCCUUGCAGACAGAAGUCUUUCUUCUCAUCAGUUACAUAAGGAAAAAAAAUCCUCUGCUGUUAGAAGUGUAUGAGUUCAGCAUCACACCUCUACUGCACUGCACUCUGCAGGCACUCAGGCUACUCCUGGGCUGCAGUGAGACCCACAGAAGCCUCCAAAAUCAGAGCAAGAUCACUCCUCAUCCACCUUCACUCUUGUAUAUGAUAAUAAUAAAAUUUUAUCUUCAGACUUUGUCUUGCUU
Molecule: long non-coding RNA, 1076 nt
Organism: Gallus gallus (chicken)
Lineage: Eukaryota; Metazoa; Chordata; Aves; Galliformes; Phasianidae
Source: Ensembl